This 792-nucleotide long non-coding RNA is filed under the name Sus scrofa (pig). RNAcentral's name for it is "lncRNA (ENSSSCG00035026848.1, ENSSSCG00055024224.1)". The record is from RNAcentral. Lineage: Eukaryota; Metazoa; Chordata; Mammalia; Artiodactyla; Suidae.
ACGAAGGAGGGGAAAAGAGACCUCAGGCUCAGGGCCCAUCUAGAAGCCAGCUGAGUCAUUGCUCCUCCUGUUGGGUCAGAAACCACCUUCCACAAAAGGCUGGGAGAUGGCUGCCCUGGGCGUGGGCACGAGGCUUUGCAGGAGACACAUCUGCCCUGAGAGUCCCCAAGCCUGCUUGGCAGCCUCCUCUGGGUGCAAGACUCCCACACUGGUUUCCGGAGGCUGCAAGCUAGACGGCAGUCUUCCCCAAACACAUUGAAGGUAAAGAAAUGAUAAAGCCUCUCCCAUGAGCUGGGCACUCGGGACACAUCAGAGAAGACAAGGCCCCGCCCCCCUGGCUUACAAACCACCCAGGCAAUAAGAGAACAUGUGAUGGACACGGUCAAGGGACACAAGGGGGGUGACCACGAGCUGGUCAGGCAGCUUUUAGUCGGAGUCAACUUGUGGUUUGUGAAGACACGGGUGGACAUGGCCGUGGGGAAAGACCAGGUGGAGACAGAGACGGCCAAGGAAAUUCUGGGGCUUGCAGUACAGACCAUUGGGCAUCCUUGUUCAUGCCAUGCAUUUCGUGUUGUUGACAGUCUCUUGGGAGCCAGCAUGAGAACAUCAGAAAGUCCUAUGGAAGGGGAGUUCCUGUUGUGGUUCAGCAGUAACAAAUCUGGCUAGUAUCCAUGAGGACACGGGUUCAAUCCCUGGCUUCGCUCAGUGGGUUAAGGAUUCGGUGUUGCCAUGAACUUUGGUGUAGGUCGAAGACAUGGCUUGGACUCUGUGUUGCUGUGGCUGUGACAUAGG